This is an RNA transcript of Photinus pyralis (common eastern firefly), 2166 nucleotides long. RefSeq lists it as uncharacterized. NCBI's taxonomy places the organism in Eukaryota, Metazoa, Arthropoda, Insecta, Coleoptera, Lampyridae. The record is from RefSeq and is a predicted model, not a curated record. The transcript is spliced from 3 exons.
UUCAUUACGAUAUUAUCUUCCAUUAGAUAAUGAAAACGUUUAGUAUCCGCACACAACCGGUUCAAGCAAUAUGGCGAAACCAUCAAAAGAAAAAUCGAUAUCUCACGCUAUAAAACCUCUCCACAUUGUUAUGCAAUUGACUGGACAUUUUUCUCUAGAAAAGAGCACUGGAUUUUUGAAAGUAUGGAAUAUUCAAAUGAAAAUUUUGUGCUUUUUCUGCUGUGCGGUACAUAUCUACGCGUGUCCAAUGGAGAUUGAUAACGUAAACUCAAUAGCGAUGGCCAUAUUUCAAUGUUACAACUAUUUCUGUGUAUUUCACACUCUGAUUUUCAAUUCGAUCUACAAUAAACGUAUUCGCGUGAUCCUCACGGAGAUAAUAAAAGUGAAUCGGUUAUCGGAAUUUAUCACCAAAGAAAAGGUGAAUUAUUUGUUGUCACGACGGCGAAUGAUCAUAUACAUCUCGUUUUGGUACGGAUUUCAAAUUAUCUGCGGUAUGCUGAGUCAUUUUUCCGUUUAUAAUUACGAAAGACGCGAACAGAGCAAGUUUUAUUGUAUGUAUAUUGGGCUGCCAACUAAUUGCUUCAACUUCAACAUGAACUGCCUGCUUCAAUUCAUUUUAGGCGAAAUCAAAGAACGGUCGGCCAAAGUGCACAAUCACGCAGUGUUGUUCCAGGAAAGUGAGAUUUAUGCACUGGUUAAAAAUGUGCCUACAUUUUACCACCAGCUUUUAAACUGCGCCCAAAGCAUUAAAUGCGCUUUUGAAUUUGUUUUACUGAGCAAGAUUGUCAUGUGCACCAUACAUUUGCUUAUCACGGUAUAUUGGUUUACAACUGGAAAGUUUAAAGAACAUUUGGGAGGGAACUUUAUUCUCUUUGGACUAGGCAGUUUCAUUGUACUUAACGUAAUUGACGUAGUGGUGGUUUUAUAUUCCUUUGUGUCAUUUAUUGAUGAGGUAAAUAUACCUACUCUAGAGCAAAACGCGCCAGUAACGAUAUUUGAUAUCUCACUAAAAACGAACCGAUUCAUUUAGGGUUGGUUGAAUUUAUCUGCUUUAUUUCAACAGUAAAGUGACUGCCAGAUAAAUUUAACUGAAACAUGAAGUGCAGGUGCUUAUAGUGUCGCUUAUGACGUUAUAUCAACGCUAAUCAGCGAGCUAUGUUCUGGCAUAUGCAUUUCAAAGUUUGUAUGAAAGAUUAUGAAAAAGAAUCAUAAUUCUUGAGCCAGAUAGAGAUCGGCUACUAGUCGUAUCCAUAAUAACCAAUCUCUAUCUAACCGAGUCAAAUAAGCAGAGACGGAUGUUGUUGGGGGGGCGUAGGUACAAUCUAGGUAUUUUUCAGACUAGAAACUUAGUGUGCCUGAUGCAACACUUAAACUAUGUCAUCGCCCGUGAAAGCUUUGUGAGGCAAAAGCCCUCUUUCCACUGAGAGUGUACGUGGAGGACUUCCGUUUUCACUUAUUUGGAUACUUUCCUUUAGAAUGGUGCUUAAUGCACUCUAUGCUGUCAGUCAUAACAACAUAUUUAAUCAUCUUUUAUCAGUUCCAGAGCUUAGAGAAAAACUAAGCAUUCGAUGGUAGGUAGGUAUGCAGAUGCGUGAGCUUUUCCAAGGAUUUUGACUUCAGGAGUGUAAGAAAAUUGCUCUAACAUAUAAAAUAUUUGCUUUAUUCACUGAAAAGUGCAUGGAUAUUCCUACCAUGUUUAUGGUACCUAUUUGAAAAUUGUUCAACUUAAUUACCAGUACCUAAAGCUAUCAGAGAUGUACUUUUUCUACAUAAAGUAGAUUAUUUAAAAACUUGUGAUUUGAUUAAAAUGGUUAAUAGCUGAGAAGAGAUGAAGUUUAUGUAGUAAGGGAUCGGUAAUUUCGUAUCGUUAGCACUAGGUAAAUAUUGCCUUCUUGAAUUUUGACCUUGAAAAUGGCAAGGUCGUCAGAUAUGCGAGCAACUUCGAGAUCCGUGAUGAUUCCGACACGCGUAAGGUACGAGUAAAAAAGCCUGGAAGCCGAUCUCUCUUAUUAGUUGGUUAGCGUCGAGUUUUUGAACGGAGGCCUGCGCCUUGGCGGGACUUGGAUAAGGACAUUAUUUGAAUACGCGAACACUAGAACUACUUUUAUUCGAGAUGCCUACAUACAAAAUUUCAUGCAAUUCGGUUCAUAACUAACGAAGAUGUCA